AUGCACGCUGGCGGCGUGCCUCAUCCAUGCAAGUCGAGCGAACAGAUAAGGAGCUUGCUCCUUUGACGUUAGCGGCGGACGGGUGAGUAACACGUGGGUAACCUACCUAUAAGACUGGGAUAACUUCGGGAAACCGGAGCUAAUACCGGAUAACAUUUGGAACCGCAUGGUUCUAAAGUGAAAGAUGGUUUUGCUAUCACUUAUAGAUGGACCCGCGCCGUAUUAGCUAGUUGGUAAGGUAACGGCUUACCAAGGCAACGAUACGUAGCCGACCUGAGAGGGUGAUCGGCCACACUGGAACUGAGACACGGUCCAGACUCCUACGGGAGGCAGCAGUAGGGAAUCUUCCGCAAUGGGCGAAAGCCUGACGGAGCAACGCCGCGUGAGUGAUGAAGGGUUUCGGCUCGUAAAACUCUGUUAUUAGGGAAGAACAAAUGUGUAAGUAACUGUGCACGUCUUGACGGUACCUAAUCAGAAAGCCACGGCUAACUACGUG
RNAcentral lists this ribosomal RNA (496 nucleotides) under uncultured bacterium. Its description in RNAcentral is "partial 16S ribosomal RNA". It matches the Rfam family "Bacterial small subunit ribosomal RNA", at positions 29 to 507 of the family's 1533-position model. The record is from RNAcentral.